UCCGGGUGUGGUGGUGCACCUGUAAUCCUAGCUACUCAGGAGGCUGAGGCAGGAGGAUGGCUUAAGUCCAGGAGUAUGCGGAUCUGGUGUCCACACUAAGUUCAGCGUCAAUAUGGUGACCUCCGGGAAGUAGGGGAUCACCACGUUGCCUAAAUAGGAGUGAACUGGCCCGGGUUAGAAAUGGAGCACAUAAAAACUCCCAUGCCGCUCAGUAGUUAGGAUCACACCUGUGAAUAGCCACUGCACUCCCACCUGGUCUUAU
RNAcentral lists this signal recognition particle RNA (262 nucleotides) under Saimiri boliviensis boliviensis (Bolivian squirrel monkey). Its description in RNAcentral is "Metazoan signal recognition particle RNA (ENSSBOG00000014058.1)". It matches the Rfam family "Metazoan signal recognition particle RNA". Rfam says of the family: The signal recognition particle (SRP) is a universally conserved ribonucleoprotein. It is involved in the co-translational targeting of proteins to membranes. The eukaryotic SRP consists of a 300-nucleotide 7S RNA and six proteins: SRPs 72, 68, 54, 19, 14, and 9. Lineage: Eukaryota; Metazoa; Chordata; Mammalia; Primates; Cebidae. The record is from Rfam by way of RNAcentral.